This 485-nucleotide ribosomal RNA is filed under the name uncultured bacterium. RNAcentral's name for it is "partial 16S ribosomal RNA". It matches the Rfam family "Bacterial small subunit ribosomal RNA", at positions 30 to 507 of the family's 1533-position model. The record is from RNAcentral.
AUUGAACGCUGGCGGCAGGCUUAACACAUGCAAGUCGAGCGGGGAGAUGUAGCUUGCUACAUAUCCUAGCGGCGGACGGGUGAGUAAUGCUUAGGAAUCUGCCUAUUAGUGGGGGACAACAUUCCGAAAGGAAUGCUAAUACCGCAUACGCCCUACGGGGGAAAGCAGGGGAUCUUCGGACCUUGCGCUAAUAGAUGAGCCUAAGUCGGAUUAGCUAGUUGGUGGGGUAAAGGCCUACCAAGGCGACGAUCUGUAGCGGGUCUGAGGGGAUGAUCCGCCACACUAGGACUGAGACACGGCCCAGACUCCUACGGGAGGCAGCAGUGGGGAAUAUUGGACAAUGGGCGCAAGCCUGAUCCAGCCAUGCCGCGUGUGUGAAGAAGGCCUUUUGGUUGUAAAGCACUUUAAGCGAGGAGGAGGCUCCUUUAGUUAAUACCUAAAGAGAGUGGACGUUACUCGCAGAAUAAGCACCGGCUAACUCUGUG